This is an unclassified non-coding RNA of Bos indicus x Bos taurus (hybrid cattle), 317 nucleotides long. Its record names the gene 7SK. It matches the Rfam family "7SK RNA". Rfam says of the family: 7SK was discovered as an abundant small nuclear RNA in the mid-70s but a possible function has only recently been suggested. The record is from Ensembl. NCBI's taxonomy places the organism in Eukaryota, Metazoa, Chordata, Mammalia, Artiodactyla, Bovidae.
ACAUUCGAGGGCCAUCUGGCUGCAACAUCUGUCACCCCAUUGAUCACCCCAUUGAUCUGGCUGGCUAGGCGGGUGUCCCCUUCCUCCUUCACAGCUCCAUAUGCUUCCCUCCCAAAGCUGCAUGCUCAUUUGAACAGGACAACCUCCCCCAAUAGCAGAGGACUGUUCUGCGGUCAAGAGAUUUGAGUAGCUGUACGCCCCUGCUGGAACCUCCAGACAAGCUCUCGAGGUCCGUUUGGAAGAAAAUUUAGGGUAGUCAGGCUUCUAAGACUCCACGAAUGCGUGCUAAGUCCUUUCAGUUGUGUCUGACUCUUUGC